GAGGUAGACAUAGUCCUGGUCUAAAUGACUGCACAACAGCAUGAGAGCAACUUCUUCAUACAAUAAAAGAGAAUAAACUACUCAUGUUAGAGUAAGGGAAGCCAGACUGGCAUCGAAGGAAAGCUGAGUGCAGGCAGAAGGCCCAUGGGCAACUAUAUGAUUAUUCACAAGCAUCUCAAUCAUAGGAUUUUCUUGGCCAAAGUAGUACUGUCUUCACCUUCUCCCUUAUCUAUCCCUUCCUUCUCCACCAAAGUGGUAACAGAAAUUUUCUCUUCCCUCACAGCAAGGGAACAGUGAGAGAAGUUUCUUCAUUAUAAACUUCUGGUUAUAAGAAUUAUUUCUCCUUUGAUGUCAGAAGCCACUUCUUUGUGUUGUCUUUGACGUCGGACAUCGUCAGCACAAAACCCUUGGAGCCUCCUCCUUUGUGUGUUAAAUAAGCCAUCUGUCUAUGCAGUUGGACUGCUUCAGCUGUCACUGCUGAUGUUAGCUGUUGUGUUCUGGACUUGUCUUCUUAACCCUCCCUGUAACACCACCCACCUAGGCCUUUGGUCAGUCCCAUUCAGCCCAUCAGAAAUGCUUGUACCCGUGAUUGGUGUAUUAUCUAUAAAUAAUGAUACAAAAUUUCCAAAGCUUAAAUUGCUACAUGUCAAUAGGCUCAGAGGAAUUUUUUUUGUGCCUCUUUUUGCUACUGAGCACUUUCAAAACCAUCACACCUUCUGGAAGUGAGGUGUUUAUUGAAUUCCAAGCCAGAAAGUGCUUCACAAAGAAUGUUCUGAGAAUAGAAUUACCAGAUUUUGCUUUCAGGCAACAGAACCUGUAUUUCUGUUUGCCCUUUAGAGUUCAGAAGCUAGAACAACUGUAUAUCCUCCCAUAACUCAUUAGCAGUAAGGAAAUUGUAAAAUAUUUUAUGACCUUCUCCUUCCUCUACUUUUAAAAUCCUUGAAUUCUGCAUUCUGGAUUAUUAUUUAUUUUUUUUUAAAUACCACAGUAAAUGAACUGGAGACUGCACACAAAUCAAAUAUUAACUACACUAAUAUCCAAAAUCACCUAAAUCCUGAGAACAAUGUUGGCUGCUUUCCAACUAAAGAGCACACAGUAUGUGCAUUUUUUCCAGUUCCCUUUCAGAGCUCUAUUAAAUUCAGUGUAUUCUGGUGGUCUUAUACAAUUCAAUUUUUCAAGUAGUCAGCAUAUAUUUUAGAAAAAAAACGUGAAGCAGAGAGAUGCUUAUUUGUUUCCUGUCACAAGCACUGUAUUUGUGGACUGCUCUUGAAGCCCUCCCACAUUCAUCCUCUCUUCCACCCUCCUGAAGAAUCUGAUACACCAUGUCAAAAGCAGAGCCAAUGUUUGAGGAAUAGAGUAUCUGUCUAAAUGGUUUCAUCUGAGUUAUCACUUUUGGUAUGUAGAGUACCUGCUGACAGGGAGCAGAUUCCUUAUUUCCUGCUGUUCAACAUACAACUGGAUCAUAAAUGAAGCUCUUGACAUUGCCUCUAAAAUCUGGCUGCAUCCUCCCAUCAAGUGAUGUCUUCCUCAAGUCCUCAUUUAUCACUUUGAUAUUUCACUUUGAAAGAAACCAAACUUCCAGGGACCAAAGGACCAGAAGGGAACCAUUAGGGGAGGAUGUUUGGGGAGCAAAUUAUCCACACAGACCAUCAAGUUUCGUCUAUUCAUUUUUAUAGGUUCAAGACAAACCUUGAUCAAAGAGACCCUCCCCACCCCCACCACCCCAAACUACAACAGAAGCGAUUUAUAAGGAGAAACUGAUUUUUUGAAGGAAUUUUGCUUGUUUAUUUUAGAGGGACCACCACAAAAUAGAAGUUCUUCAGAGGCCCCUCCAGUUUCUGCUUUGCUUAUUCAAACCAGUGUUCUCACCAAAAUCAACUACUAUGUAUUUUUGAUCUGCCAGAAUUUUCUCCUAAAGAACAGGGAGCUGUUCUGUCUGAGCAGGAGCAGCCACCCUUUCUUUCUAAGUAGUAGAUACAUGCUUUCAGUAAUUGAAUGCAGCUGCUUUCCUUUCUGUCCCUUUUUUAGCUUUUGAAGGAAAUCCUGUUCAGAGAGAUAUCAGUGCCUUCAGCAGGGAUGAGAGAAGGCCAACUGGAAGACCUGCCUUUGCCUUCCAGGGCCAGAUACCAUAUGACACAUUCUUAAAUCACAGCAGAGAAUGUAGGUAUGAUAUUACAGGAAAAUAUGAUUUCACUGCCUGUCUUUUAGAGUCUAUAUAGAUAGCUGGCUUUUCUUUAGAAGAUGGUCUUCCCCAAGUGAGAUAAUCUUCUGCUUUCUCGCAUGGAGAUAUAAUAACUUUCUCUAGUAGGAUAAUGUAUCUGAAAAAAAAGACUUCUAUAGGCAUGGCAUUAUCCCAAUAUGUGCUUUUGCUGUUAAACACCUUGUUUUUUGUCUUUAUAGAGAUUUCCAGGGACUAGAAGUGAGGGAAUUUUCAAUGGUUGAACCUUGAAUCUAUGUCCUCUCAGAUAAUCUUCUGAAACCUUCCACCUCUAAUUCCUAGAAAAUAGAAGAGCAAAAGGAAACUAGUGUGAGCCACUGCUUCUAUUUCAGUUCCACGGGGUCACAUCUACCUGUCAGGAUUAUGCACAGACCUGUUAAAAUGCUCUGUGGAGUUUCUUGAUGCCUGGCUUGUCCAGCUCACCCUUUCUAACAUCAUGCUACUAUUAUGCUGUGCAACUGGCCACUCUGACAGCUUUCAUGAUGCCGAAGUUUAUGGCAACUGUAAAUCUAUUAAGCCACAAUUUGCACUUAAUAAAAUGAAACAGCAAGCAGUUAAAUGAAAGCUCGAUCCUAAACUGGAGAACAUUUUUCAGGAAAAGUCACUGGGGCUGCUGCUGCUACUGCUGCCUGCCUUUGAGAAAUUCAAUCGUGCUGAUUGAGGAAACCUGGAGAGAGCUGGCUAUUCCUUCCUUCAGUUCGUAAUUGCCCCGUAGACCAUUUAAUCAUCUGCGGAUGAAACAAAGGCUGCGCUGUGGAGUGCCGGAUGCCAAGUAAAGCCUGAACAAGCUCUCAGGAGCUGAGCUCAGAGCAGAGAAUGAAGGUCUUCCUGCUGGGGACUACAGCGAGGCACAGAGGCACCUGCCAGGAGAAACCUCUGGACGCUGCCUUGACAAGAAGAGAUAAGCACUGGGAGUUAAAGGAGAGGAACAUGGAUUUGCUGGCUCCCGUAAAAAAAAUUUCUCUGUCAAUGUUAAAAAUGACAUUUUUCAUAUCCUUGUCCUUGUCUUCAUUCCAUACUGAGGUAUUUCUGGGUGACCAAGUGGAUGGCCCUGGUUCGUAGAUGAAUAGUCUGGUCAGAAACACCAUGCCUGGUUUCAUUAACUAAACAAAACCAAAAACCAACAAACAAACAAGCAAACAAAAACCUGGGGAGGCACUCAGAGCUCGAAAACCUGAUCCAGCAUACUAAUUGGUUUGGAAUAUUAGCCUUUAGUUGAGAUUUGAAAUCCAUUUCCUCCUGAAUAUAGGCAAUUUGCCUGACAGUUCAGGCACUACAUGUAAGCUUGACAUGCCGCCCUUCAUCCCUAGAUCAUGUUUUCCGGAAUACACAUUCAAAAUAGUUACAAGAGCUGGUUAUUCCUGGGAGGGUGCCUCUGUCCCCUUCUUAUAAGUAUUCCUCCUGACAAAAGUUUUAGGAUUCGUAAUUCACAAAAACUACUCGCUGCUGACUAAUGCAUGCCAAUUAAGUUCGCCCCUUGAAUCAACAGUUUCCUGUUACCUGUUCCUUCAGGUAGAACAGCAGCUGAUACCCCUGCCCUUUCCCAGGCUUCUGUGCAGGGACCUUUCCUGCCCGAAAACAGUGGGGACACCUGUUUUCCGAGCAUGGAAGGCCAGUACCUGAAAUCUUAGGAAUGGGCCUGCUAUUGAAAACAGGGGGCUUGAUAAGGCAGCCACUGUGAUAGGCAGCGGAAAUUUGAUGAUGAAAGGAGAUGCCUAAUAGAUUAAUCUGGUGUGAUUUGCCAAAACACAGGGUUUUCUGGAAGAUUAUCCACACUCGCAAUAGGAAGCCCUUUGUUUUGUGAAAGUCCCCACUUAUCAUGGUAUUCUUUAUCUCAACAAGAAACAUAAUGGUUUACUUGUUUACAUGCAUGGCAGAUAUAUUCAGAGCUGGGCUUAGGAACUGUGAACUCCUUUUCAUUUGAAACGUUUCCAGCAGGCAGGUUAUUAGCUGAGGGGGAACAAGCAGUUGGACACACAUAAAAUUUAAAUCUGCCUUGCUUAGAUUGGCAAAAAUGAAUGUUAUUUCAUCCACUGGGAAAAUGUUUUACUUCCUGCUCAAAUACUUUUGGAAGAAAAUCACAAGCUCAUUUGUAGCCAUCAUAUAUGUAUGUAUAUAUUUUCUUAGAGUUAAGUGUUAUGUCUACAGAAAUGUAUUUGUUACUGUAUACCGAUUAUUUUCCACUAAUAUUAAUUAUUUUAUUAGCUUGUCUUUACUUCUUCAAUUUUACUUUGCUUACUAUAAAAUGUGACUGAUGGCUUUACAUUAUUUAUACUGAAUGUGUGGCUAGAAUCUAGCCCUUGAUGUACCUUGGAUAGAACUUCUUUGGUUUCUGGAAUUGAUUUUUAAAUACCUUACACAUCCGGGACUGCAGAACUACCAAAGCACUGUGUUCUUGAACUCUGAAAAUAAACAAAAACUACCAUGUUAGAAAACAGUUUUAUUAAAGCCCUUUUUAGCAACCUUGUACCAACAAAACUUUCAGAGUGCAGUAUUAAGCCUGCUAUAUACACAGUGUACAUGCUAUACAAAAGUGUGCACAGCAAGAAGAUGCAUUGUGUUAAAAGAGCUGGGGCGCUCAAAGUACAGGAGUUUGACUAGGUUAUUUUUCUGCAGUCCUAUGCAGUAGCAUAUUGUCUGUACCAUACAGGAUAUAAAUUUUCUGCAGAGGCAGCCAGUUUCCACACUGGGAUAAGUAAGUGGUGGAGGGUCACUUCAAACAAGGCUGAAAGAAAGGGAAGACAAAAAAAAAAAAAAAAAA
This is a long non-coding RNA of Anas platyrhynchos (mallard), 4979 nucleotides long. RefSeq lists it as uncharacterized. NCBI's taxonomy places the organism in Eukaryota, Metazoa, Chordata, Aves, Anseriformes, Anatidae. The record is from RefSeq and is a predicted model, not a curated record.